RNAcentral lists this long non-coding RNA (325 nucleotides) under Linum usitatissimum (flax). RNAcentral's name for it is "long non-coding RNA (LUSI_LNC001068)". The record is from RNAcentral. Lineage: Eukaryota; Viridiplantae; Streptophyta; Magnoliopsida; Malpighiales; Linaceae.
CCCCUUCUCUAUAUUUAGCAGCACCAAUUACAGCCUUUCUAUUUCUCGCUCUUAUCUACAGAAACCAAAAUUCUCUUCUUCUUUCUUUUUACCUUCUUUGCAUUUACCCCCCCCUCCUCUCCCCUCCCUCCCUUCUCUCUGUUCUUAAAUAUUGGACGAUUUGUGGGUGCUCCAAGGAGAGAAAGAUACAGUCUUUACUGUUUUCCCCUUUCUGGGUUUCUUCUGGCCUGGGUGGGUUUAAUUUCUUUUGUUGGUCUGGGUUUUUGUGGGGUGCAAAAAAACAUGGGGAGGGGAAAGAUUGAGAUCAAAAGGAUUGAGAAUGCAA